GCCUACGGGAGGCAGCAGUAGGGAAUUUUCGUCAAUGGGCGCAAGCCUGAACGAGCAAUGCCGCGUGAACGAGGAAGGUCUUCGGAUCGUAAAGUUCUGUUGAAGGGGAAAAAGAGCGGAGAGAGGAAAUGCUUUCUGAUUGAUAUUACCCUUCGAGGAAGUCACGGCUAACUACGUGCCAGCAGCCGCGGUAAUACGUAGGUGGCGAGCGUUAUCCGGAAUGAUUGGACGUAAAGGGUGCGUAGGCGGCCUGCUAAGUCUGGAGUGAAAGGUACCGGCUCAACCGGUACAGGCUCUGGAAACUG
Molecule: ribosomal RNA, 305 nt
Filed under: uncultured bacterium
Lineage: Bacteria
Description: bacterial SSU rRNA
Rfam family: Bacterial small subunit ribosomal RNA
Source: RNAcentral